RNAcentral lists this transfer RNA (81 nucleotides) under Archaeoglobales archaeon. RNAcentral's name for it is "tRNA-Val". It matches the Rfam family "tRNA", at positions 10 to 71 of the family's 71-position model. Rfam says of the family: Transfer RNA (tRNA) molecules are approximately 80 nucleotides in length. Their secondary structure includes four short double-helical elements and three loops (D, anti-codon, and T loops). Further hydrogen bonds mediate the characteristic L-shaped molecular structure. tRNAs have two regions of fundamental functional importance: the anti-codon, which is responsible for specific mRNA codon recognition, and the 3' end, to which the tRNAs corresponding amino acid is attached (by aminoacyl-tRNA synthetases). tRNAs cope with the degeneracy of the genetic code in two manners: having more than one tRNA (with a specific anti-codon) for a particular amino acid; and 'wobble' base-pairing, i.e. permitting non-standard base-pairing at the 3rd anti-codon position. Lineage: Archaea; Methanobacteriati; Methanobacteriota; Archaeoglobi; Archaeoglobales. The record is from RNAcentral.
UUUUCCGUUUUUGACUUGGCUAACAUCCCUAAAGCCGCCCUUACGAGGCGGUGAUCGGGGGUUCAAAUCCCCCCGAGCCCA